GACGAACGCUGGCGGCGUGCCUAAUACAUGCAAGUAGAACGCUGAAGAGAGGAGCUUGCUCUUCUUGGAUGAGUUGCGAACGGGUGAGUAACGCGUAGGUAACCUGCCUUGUAGCGAGGGAUAACUAUUGGAAACGAUAGCUAAUACCGCAUAACAAUGGAUGACACAUGUCAUUUAUUUGAAAGGGGCAAUUGCUCCACUACAAGAUGGACCUGCGUUGUAUUAGCUAGUAGGUGAGGUAAUGGCUCACCUAGGCGACGAUACAUAGCCGACCUGAGAGGGUGAUCGGCCACACUGGGACUGAGACACGGCCCAGACUCCUACGGGAGGCAGCAGUAGGGAAUCUUCGGCAAUGGGGGCAACCCUGACCGAGCAACGCCGCGUGAGUGAAGAAGGUUUUCGGAUCGUAAAGCUCUGUUGUAAGUCAAGAACGGGUGUGAGAGUGGAAAGUUCACACUGUGACGGUAGCUUACCAGAAAGGGACGGCUAACUACGUG
RNAcentral lists this ribosomal RNA (497 nucleotides) under uncultured bacterium. RNAcentral describes it as "partial 16S ribosomal RNA". It matches the Rfam family "Bacterial small subunit ribosomal RNA", at positions 28 to 507 of the family's 1533-position model. The record is from RNAcentral.